UUAAGCGACUAAGCGUACACGGUGGAUGCCUAGGCAAUCAGAGGCGAUGAAGGACGUGCUAAUCUGCGAAAAGCGUCGGUAAGGUGAUAUGAACCGUUAUAACCGACGAUGUCCGAAUGGGGAAACCCAGUGCAAUUCGUUGCACUAUCGUUUGAUGAAUCCAUAGUCAAACGAGGCGAACCGGGGGAACUGAAACAUCUCAGUACCCCGAGGAAAAGAAAUCAACCGAGAUUCCCCUAGUAGCGGCGAGCGAACGGGGAGCAGCCCAGAGUCUUAAUCAGCAUCAGCAUCAGGAGAACGGUCUGGAAAGGCCGGCAAUAAAGGGUGAUAGCCCCGUAUCCGAAGGUGUUGGUGUUGUGAACUCGACGAGUAGGGCGGGACACGUGUUAUCCUGUCUGAAUAUGGGGGGACCAUCCUCCAAGGCUAAAUACUCCUGAUUGACCGAUAGUGAACCAGUACCGUGAGGGAAAGGCGAAAAGAACCCCGGCGAGGGGAGUGAAAUAGAACCUGAAACCGUGUACGUACAAGCAGUGGGAGCCUUGAUUUAUCAGGGUGACUGCGUACCUUUUGUAUAAUGGGUCAGCGACUUAUAUUCUGUAGCAAGGUUAACCGAAUAGGGGAGCCGUAGGGAAACCGAGUCUUAACUGGGCGAAUGAGUUGCAGGGUAUAGACCCGAAACCCGGUGAUCUAGCCAUGGGCAGGUUGAAGGUUGGGUAACACUAACUGGAGGACCGAACCGACUAAUGUUGAAAAAUUAGCGGAUGACUUGUGGCUGGGGGUGAAAGGCCAAUCAAACCGGGAGAUAGCUGGUUCUCCCCGAAAGCUAUUUAGGUAGCGCCUCGUGAACUCAUCUUCGGGGGUAGAGCACUGUUUCGGCUAGGGGGUCAUCCCGACUUACCAACCCGAUGCAAACUACGAAUACCGAAGAAUGUUAUCACGGGAGACACACGGCGGGUGCUAACGUUCGUCGUGAAGAGGGAAACAACCCAGACCGCCAGCUAAGGUCCCAAAGUCAUGGUUAAGUGGGAAACGAAGUGGGAAGGCUCAGACAGCCAGGAUGUUGGCUUAGAAGCAGCCAUCAUUUAAAGAAAGCGUAAUAGCUCACUGGUCGAGUCGGCCUGCGCGGAAGAUGUAACGGGGCUAAACCAUGCACCGAAGCUGCGGCAGCGACAUGUAAAUGUUGUUGGGUAGGGGAGCGUUCUGUAAGCCUGUGAAGGUGUGCUGCGAGGCAUGCUGGAGGUAUCAGAAGUGCGAAUGCUGACAUAAGUAACGAUAAUGCGGGUGAAAAACCCGCACGCCGGAAGACCAAGGGUUCCUGUCCAACGUUAAUCGGGGCAGGGUGAGUCGACCCCUAAGGCGAGGCAGAAAUGCGUAGUCGAUGGGAAACAGGUUAAUAUUCCUGUACUGGUGAUAAUUGCGAUGGGGGGACGGAGAAGGCUAGGCUGGCCGGGCGACGGUUGUCCCGGUUUAAGGAUGUAGGUGGGUGAAUUAGGCAAAUCCGGUUCGCUAUACACUGAGGUCUGAUGACGAGUCACUACGGUGGCGAAGUAGCUCAUGCCCCGCUUCCAGGAAAAGCCUCUAAGCUCUAGAUUAUCAUUAAUCGUACCCCAAACCGACACAGGUGGUCAGGUAGAGAAUACUCAGGCGCUUGAGAGAACUCGGGUGAAGGAACUAGGCAAAAUGGUGCCGUAACUUCGGGAGAAGGCACGCUGGCAUUAGGUGAAGUGGUUUACCCAUGGAGCUGAAGCCAGUCGCAGAUACCAGCUGGCUGCAACUGUUUAUUAAAAACACAGCACUGUGCAAACACGAAAGUGGACGUAUACGGUGUGACGCCUGCCCGGUGCUGGAAGGUUAAUUGAUGGGGUUAUCCGUAAGGAGAAGCUCUUGAUCGAAGCCCCAGUAAACGGCGGCCGUAACUAUAACGGUCCUAAGGUAGCGAAAUUCCUUGUCGGGUAAGUUCCGACCUGCACGAAUGGCGUAAUGAUGGCCAGGCUGUCUCCACCCGAGACUCAGUGAAAUUGAACUCGCUGUGAAGAUGCAGUGUACCCGCGGCAAGACGGAAAGACCCCGUGAACCUUUACUAUAGCUUGACACUGAACAUUGAGCCUUGAUGUGUAGGAUAGGUGGGAGGCUUUGAAGUGUGGACGCCAGUCUGCAUGGAGCCAACCUUGAAAUACCACCCUUUAAUGUUUGAUGUUCUAACGUUGCCCCAUAAUCUGGGGUGCGGACAGUGUCUGGUGGGUAGUUUGACUGGGGCGGUCUCCUCCCAAAGCGUAACGGAGGAGCACGAAGGUUGGCUAAGCAUGGUCGGACAUCAUGCGGUUAGUGCAAAGGCAUAAGCCAGCUUGACUGCGAGAGUGACGGCUCGAGCAGGUACGAAAGUAGGUCUUAGUGAUCCGGUGGUUCUGAAUGGAAGGGCCAUCGCUCAACGGAUAAAAGGUACUCCGGGGAUAACAGGCUGAUACCGCCCAAGAGUUCAUAUCGACGGCGGUGUUUGGCACCUCGAUGUCGGCUCAUCACAUCCUGGGGCUGAAGUAGGUCCCAAGGGUAUGGCUGUUCGCCAUUUAAAGUGGUACGCGAGCUGGGUUUAGAACGUCGUGAGACAGUUCGGUCCCUAUCUGCCGUGGGCGUUGGAAGAUUGAAAGGGGCUGCUCCUAGUACGAGAGGACCGGAGUGGACGCACCGCUGGUGUUCGGGUUGUCAUGCCAAUGGCACUGCCCGGUAGCUAAGUGCGGAAGAGAUAACCGCUGAAAGCAUCUAAGCGGGAAACUUGCCUUGAGAUGAGUCUUCCCUGACUCUUUAAGGGUCCUAAAGGAACGUUUAAGACGAAGACGUUGAUAGGCUGGGUGUGUAAGCGUAGCGAUACGUUGAGCUAACCAGUACUAAUGAACCGUGAGGCUUAACCUG
RNAcentral lists this ribosomal RNA (2907 nucleotides) under Providencia stuartii ATCC 25827. RNAcentral's name for it is "bacterial LSU rRNA". It matches the Rfam family "Bacterial large subunit ribosomal RNA". The record is from RNAcentral. Lineage: Bacteria; Pseudomonadati; Pseudomonadota; Gammaproteobacteria; Enterobacterales; Morganellaceae.